ACGCUGGCGGCGUGCCUAAUACAUGCAAGUAGAACGCUGAAGAGAGGAGCUUGCUCUUCUUGGAUGAGUUGCGAACGGGUGAGUAACGCGUAGGUAACCUGCCUUGUAGCGGGGGAUAACUAUUGGAAACGAUAGCUAAUACCGCAUAACAAUAGGUGACACAUGUCAUUUAUUUGAAAGGGGCAAUUGCUCCACUACAAGAUGGACCUGCGUUGUAUUAGCUAGUAGGUGAGGUAACGGCUCACCUAGGCGACGAUACAUAGCCGACCUGAGAGGGUGACCGGCCACACUGGGACUGAGACACAGCCCAGACUCCUACGGGAGGCAGCAGUAGGGAAUCUUCGGCAAUGGGGGCAACCCUGACCGAGCAACGCCGCGUGAGUGAAGAAGGUUUUCGGAUCGUAAAGCUCUGUUGUAAGUCAAGAACGAGUGUGAGAGUGGAAAGUUCACACUGUGACGGUAGCUUACCAGAAAGGGACGGCUAACUACGUGCCAGCAGCCGCGGUAAUACGUAGGUCCCGAGCGUUGUCCGGAUUUAUUGGGCGUAAAGCGAGCGCAGGCGGUUUGAUAAGUCUGAAGUUAAAGGCUGUGGCUCAACCAUAGUUCGCUUUGGAAACUGUCAAACUUGAGUGCAGAAGGGGAGAGUGGAAUUCCAUGUGUAGCGGUGAAAUGCGUAGAUAUAUGGAGGAACACCGGUGGCGAAAGCGGCUCUCUGGUCUGUAACUGACGCUGAGGCUCGAAAGCGUGGGGAGCGAACAGGAUUAGAUACCCUGGUAGUCCACGCCGUAAACGAUGAGUGCUAGGUGUUGGAUCCUUUCCGGGAUUCAGUGCCGCAGCUAACGCAUUAAGCACUCCGCCUGGGGAGUACGACCGCAAGGUUGAAACUCAAAGGAAUUGACGGGGGCCCGCA
RNAcentral lists this ribosomal RNA (910 nucleotides) under uncultured bacterium. Its description in RNAcentral is "bacterial SSU rRNA". It matches the Rfam family "Bacterial small subunit ribosomal RNA", at positions 33 to 925 of the family's 1533-position model. The record is from RNAcentral.